This is a transfer RNA of Ovis aries (sheep), 72 nucleotides long. It matches the Rfam family "tRNA". From Rfam's summary of the family: Transfer RNA (tRNA) molecules are approximately 80 nucleotides in length. Their secondary structure includes four short double-helical elements and three loops (D, anti-codon, and T loops). NCBI's taxonomy places the organism in Eukaryota, Metazoa, Chordata, Mammalia, Artiodactyla, Bovidae. The record is from Rfam.
UCCCUGGUGGCUCAGACGAUAAAGAAUCUACCUGCAAUGCAGGAGACCCAGGUUCAAAUCCUGGAUUGGGAG